This is a long non-coding RNA of Malurus melanocephalus (red-backed fairy wren), 1090 nucleotides long. RefSeq lists it as uncharacterized. The transcript has 4 exons. NCBI's taxonomy places the organism in Eukaryota, Metazoa, Chordata, Aves, Passeriformes, Maluridae. The record is from RefSeq and is a predicted model, not a curated record.
GGAGCCGCUCUGAGGGCGGCGGGGGAGCUCCCUGGCCCCGGCCCGAGCCCUCCCGGCCCCGGGGGAUCCCGGCUUGGCGCCGGGACAGGGCAGGGCCGGUCCCCGCCGCAGUCUCGCCGCUCGGGAUGRCCGGUGUGAAGAGUCUGGGCGAGCAACCAAAAGAAACGGGGAGAGCCGCUGCGUCCCAAGGGCUGCUUUAAAGCCCAGGCAAAGUGAGCUGAGAGUAUUGCUGGCGGUUGAAURAAACAAAAGCGUCCGCUGGAUGCUACUGGAAAAGCGCUAGACUCCCUWCCUUAAAAAAUUCAUCAUGUUCUCCUCUCGCCAGCUCUUGGCCAAAAGGGAGAGGAGGAAUUGUAAACCGGGAGAAGCAGCAGRCUUGAACUGAAAUGGCCUUUGGGUCUCGAUUUACAGGGAUAUCGGAAGCCGCAGCAAUGAAAAAAAGAAGGAGCGAAACGUUUUGUUAUAUAGAAAAAGGAAUCAACCGAAUGAUCUGUGCUGCGGAAGGCAGAUCUAGAAAGUGAUGUUCUGAGGGUCCCUCUGGCAGAUCCUGCUCGUGUUUCACACUCCAGCACUGYCAGCCCAUGUUCCACCAAGGAGUUUGGCACACUCUGUUCUGAAGUGCUCACACAGGCACUUGCAGGCACAAGACAUGAAGGAGAGGGAAUGCCAGCAACCUAUGCUGUCGACUUUGCAAGUCAUUAACAGUCUGGAAAGAGACUGAGACACAMUGUCAACCUGAGCAGAACAUCUCAGAGAGGCACAGAGACAGACCAAAAUGGAAAGACUUGGGGUGCAACWCCCCAGCUCUCCCUUCUGAGAAGCACUGAGUGCUGGCAGCCCGAAGAAUGGRGUUAUGGACUGAAAUUAAAGGCAUAAGGCUGGAAGGAGGCAAGUAAUGUGACUGCAGGGUUUGAAGACACAUGCUGUAACAGAAGUGGACAGAAAUAUUUAAAGGCAAACCCCUUCUGAUCCUGAAGUGAAGGUACAGCGCUAAUUGAGCAUAACUGUCAUGAACUAGGRGGCCAUGGAAUUCUGUCWCUUUCUUUYGCUGACUUCCUCAGAGCUGGUGUCAUCAGUCUGGCARCCUGGU